RNAcentral lists this ribosomal RNA (417 nucleotides) under uncultured bacterium. RNAcentral describes it as "bacterial SSU rRNA". It matches the Rfam family "Bacterial small subunit ribosomal RNA", at positions 30 to 447 of the family's 1533-position model. The record is from RNAcentral.
AUUGAACGCUGGCGGCAGGCCUAACACAUGCAAGUCGAGCGGUAGAGGGGAGCUUGCUUCCCUUGAGAGCGGCGGACGGGUGAGUAAUGCCUAGGAAUCUGCCUAGUAGUGGGGGAUAACGUUCGGAAACGGACGCUAAUACCGCAUACGUCCUACGGGAGAAAGUGGGGGAUCUUCGGACCUCACGCUAUUAGAUGAGCCUAGGUCGGAUUAGCUAGUUGGUGAGGUAAUGGCUCACCAAGGCUACGAUCCGUAACUGGUCUGAGAGGAUGAUCAGUCACACUGGAACUGAGACACGGUCCAGACUCCUACGGGAGGCAGCAGUGGGGAAUAUUGGACAAUGGGCGCAAGCCUGAUCCAGCCAUGCCGCGUGUGUGAAGAAGGUCUUCGGAUUGUAAAGCACUUUAAGUUGGGAGG